AACGAACGCUGGCGGCAUGCCUAACACAUGCAAGUCGAACGAGACCUUCGGGUCUAGUGGCGCACGGGUGCGUAACGCGUGGGAACCUGCCCUUAGGUUCGGAAUAACUCCCCGAAAGGGGUGCUAAUACCGGAUAAUGUCUUCGGACCAAAGAUUUAUCGCCUUUGGAUGGGCCCGCGUUGGAUUAGCUAGUUGGUAGGGUAAAAGCCUACCAAGGCGACGAUCCAUAGCUGGUCUGAGAGGAUGAUCAGCCACACUGGGACUGAGACACGGCCCAGACUCCCUCGGGAGGGAGGCGGUGGGAAUAUUGGAAAAUGGGCGAAAGCCUGAUCCAGCAAUGCCGCGUGAGUGAUGAAGGCCUUAGGGUUGUAAAGCUCUUUUACCCGGGAUGAUAAUGACAGUACCGGGAGAAUAAGCUCCGGCUAACUCCGUG
Molecule: ribosomal RNA, 433 nt
Filed under: uncultured bacterium
Lineage: Bacteria
Description: partial 16S ribosomal RNA
Rfam family: Bacterial small subunit ribosomal RNA
Source: RNAcentral